CCCUGGUCGUGUGUGGCAGGUGACAGUCGCGGGCGCUGAGCAGGGACCAGACUCCGCUCGCGCUCCUCGUCCUGAACGCGCUGACUGACUGGAAGGUGUCGCCGCCCCGCGUGCCCCCCGAGGAGGAUGUGCAGGGUCCUGGGUGCAGUCUGUGCUGACUCAGGAGUCUCUACAUUCUGAGGCUGUCACCACCCCUGCAUUAAAAACAGCACCAAGUUCUACCUACAGGAAUAUGCAUCCCUCUUGACUUUGGUCUUAGCCAUGUGCUCCCUUGAGCAAUGAGAUGUUUUGCACCAUUUGGUUUACCCUCUUUUGCUGCUUGUAUUACCUAAAAGACCUGGGCCUGGGUAAUUUCUGGCUCUUCAGUCUGGGCUUCAAAAUGAACACACAUAGGGCAGUCAUGAAUUUUACCAACUCAACUAAGAGGAAGACUCAUAUUUGGUACAGUUUCUCUGCUUCCAAGAGCAGUGGGAGUGUCCAAGACUAGGAUAGGGAGCACAAGCAGCUGAACAACUCUCCUUUUAUGCUGUCCCUGCAGCAUUCUAACAGGCCAAGAAACUUGGAGGUAUCUCAUUGAAAGUGACUGGGAAUGAUAAGAGGUUGGGCUAUAUGGGUGAUUUAAUGUCAAAAUUUAUAUAUGAUUUUUCUUUUACAAUUCUAUAUAUCACUCUAUUGUCUAAAACAAACAUGUUGACUUAAAAUUAGAAAUAAUUGCUAUAAUUAAAACAUUGAAUAAAAUUUAAAUUUUAAAGAUUAAAAAUGUAUAUAUUCUCUAAAGUCCUAUCAGUCAAAGAAAAUUAUAGGUGAGAAUUGAAUUGUUAUAGAAAAGAAAACUUUAAGAGCAAAAGAAAGGAAUGAAUAUUUAUAAUCCCCAAACAUUGCAUAUGUGUUUUCUCUACUCUUAUUCUGACAUUUUGCCAAAUUUUUAAGUUGCUUCCAAUUUAUUUGCCCUUUUGUCUCUUUAUGUUUUCCAGUUCUAUCUCUUUAUCACAUGGAGCCCCUAACUUUAAAUUUUUUAACCACAAAGUAUUAGAGGAAAACUAAUAAUCGUUUAAUAUAAAACCUUCAUUUUACAUAUAUAUGUCUUGGGCUCAAACUUUCAUCCAUCUAUCCAUCCACUCAUGCAGCAACUCAUUCACUCAACCAGCAAACAUUUAUCAAUGGUUAGUUCUGAGUGACAUAUUGUACAGUGGUCCCGUUUAUUGCAGGGGAUACGUUCCAAGAUCCCUAGGGGAUGCCUACAAUCGUGGAUUGUACCAAACCCUAAAUAUACUAUGUUUUUUCCUACACAUUUAUACCUAUGAUAAUGUUUAUUUUAUAUACUACACACAGUAAUAGAUUAAUAACAAUAACUAAUAAUAAAAUAGAAUAGUUAUAACAAUAUACUGUACUAAAAGCUAUGUGACUGUGGUCUCUCUCUCAAAAUAUCUCAUUGUACUGUAUUCGCCUUUCUUCUUGUGAUGACGUGAGAUGAUACAAUGCCUACGAGAUGAGGUGAACUGAGAAGAAUGACGAAGGCAUUGUGACACAACAUUAGGCUACUAUUGACCUUUUGAGGAUACAUGAGAAGGAGGAUCAUCUGCUGCAGGAUACAGUGAGAAGGUGGCCAUUUAGAAGCCAAGAAGAGUGCCCUUACCAAGAACCAAAUUUGCCGGCACCAUGAUCUUGGACUUCCCAGCUUCCAGAACUGUGAGAAAUAAAUGUUUAUUGUCUAAGCCACCCAGUCUAUGGUAUAUUUUUGUUAUAGCAGCUGGAAAUGACUAAGACAUUUUAGCACAAAAAAGGACAGGUAGCUGUGAAAGGGCCAUCAAUGACCCUAGGCCAUAGAGGAAAGAUGUGGGCACCAGUGACUUUUUAAUGAUCAGGAACAAACUGCUUCUUUUUCUUAACUGCUCCUCUGUGCUCUCCCAAACUUUCCUUUGAAAUUAAGUAACAUUGAAAAAGAAGAAUGAGUAUAAUAUAACAAAAUAGAUAAAUAGCCAAUGUGCAAAUGUUUACAACAAAAACCACCCAUACUCUCACUACUUAGAGGUAAUCAUUGCACAUAUUUUGAAAACAUAUACCUUUCCAGGUUUUUGUGUGUUUGCCUGUUUCUAUGUGAGAUGGUAGUUGGCCUGGGGCAGAAGGAGGGGUUAGGGAGAAAGUAAGGAAGGGAGAAGGGUCAAACUGCAAUAUAUCUUACAAUCCAGUCUCCCAUUUAGCAAUACACAGUCAACAUCUCUGCAUGUUUUCAAGUAUUCUUCACCUAUUUAGAUCAUUACUUAUUCAUAAUAUUGUAGGGAUUUUAUGUUUUCUCUAUUACAAACUGCAUGUUAUUGAACUUCUUUCAAACUACUUCUAUUCAUAUAACAAUAGUUAUUUCCUUUGUAAAAACUCCUAAAUUUCUGUCUCAAAACAAGUAUGCAAAAUUUUGUGCAGAUCUCAUUCUCUUACCACAGAGCUAUGGGUAGAAAUUAAAUGCAAAUGAUAAAAAUAAAUUAUAAUAAAUAAUAAGCACCUCUCAGAUUUUUCAAGUCACAAAUUAAGUCCUUUCCUGCUUUGUACUUAAAGUUGAAAUCCCUCCAAAGUGCAGAAAGCUUCAUCAAUCCUCUCUAGGAUGCCUUUUUUACUGACGUGGCCAACUGACUUGCUGACAGCAGCAUGUCUGCUAAAACAGAAGGGCCUAUAAUCCCCAAACCAGGAUUUCACACUCACGCACAGCAAAAGCUACUUAGGCAAAGUACUUACACAAAGCUUCAUCACAGGCUCUGGUGUCUCCUAUCAAUGAAUAGCACUAGGAGGCACAGUGGACCUAAAUCAGGACAGUUUGUGCUUCUCACCUUUUAAAUGCUCCAUAUUUCCCUUUCCUGUCUAGGUCCCCCAGAGCCUAACGUCUGUACUGGACUGGCAUAGUCAGUUUUGGGUUAUGAGUCUGUAUUUUCUAUUUAAAAUUCUCUAAAGUAAAUUAUUAAAAUAAUUAUCAUUUUAAACCAGAGUUUCAUUCAAUUUGAUAGUCAAAGUUAAUAACUUCAAGUCAGAUGGCCAUGAAUAUAAUUUCUUUUGUCAUUCAAAAUAUUGAGAUUAACAAUUAAGACCAAGUAACACCGAAACUGAAACACAGACAAGGCAGUGGAUUGUCAACAAUAAUUACAGAAAGAAGUACAAAUGGCAAUGAGCAAGGAAGAAAUAAGCAAUGAGUGUGGGUUGGUCUGAGAAAUACAGUAGAAAUGUCAAAAAAAAACACCAAAAAACCUUAAGCGUAAUUCAUUAAAUGAAUGAGAGGCGUACCACACAUGCUUGGCCCAAAGAAGCCACAAAGGGGUGCUGUGGAUCUCCUCAGAGGCCUGGAGGAAGUUUCAAGUGGUUCAAUUUACUGGAUCCUGGACACUUGUUCACUGGUCCUCCUGAGAGGUUACAGCAGCUGUUUCCUCCCACAGGGCAAACCAAGAGCUCACAGGCACCCCAGGCCUCCCAUGGACAAUGGAGCUGCUUCCUGGGCCAAGGGUCCAGAAUUGGGGAGGGAAAGGGGUAGUUAAUGGCUGAUGUUUAAGGGCUUAGAUUUGUCCAAUGUAUCACAAACACUCAACCUUUAGCGAGAGAGGUGAGGUAGUAUUAUAAAAGACUCAUCAGACGGUCCAACACUAGCUGUGGAUUCAGCGGGUCCUUGGAACAUGUGCACCAUGGCCUUGACUCCUCUCCUUCUCCUUCACUGUCUAGGUUCAUGGAAAUUUCAGAGACCAGUCUUUGAAGUGAUUCCCUGUGUCUUCCUCCUCAUUCCUAAUGGGUGUCUGUGUU
Equus caballus (horse) is the source of this 3774-nucleotide non-coding RNA. The record is from RefSeq and is a predicted model, not a curated record. NCBI's taxonomy places the organism in Eukaryota, Metazoa, Chordata, Mammalia, Perissodactyla, Equidae.